RNAcentral lists this ribosomal RNA (510 nucleotides) under uncultured bacterium. RNAcentral's name for it is "partial 16S ribosomal RNA". It matches the Rfam family "Bacterial small subunit ribosomal RNA", at positions 28 to 507 of the family's 1533-position model. The record is from RNAcentral.
GACGAACGCUGGCGGCGUGCUUAACACAUGCAAGUCGAACGAAGAGCGACGGAAGCUUGCUUCUCUCAAUCUUAGUGGCGAACGGGUGAGUAACGCGUAAUCAACCUGCCCUUCAGAGGGGGACAACAGUUGGAAACGACUGCUAAUACCGCAUACGAUCUAAUCUCGGCAUCGAGGAUGGAUGAAAGGUGGCCUCUACAUGUAAGCUAUCACUGAAGGAGGGGAUUGCGUCUGAUUAGCUAGUUGGAGGGGUAACGGCCCACCAAGGCGAUGAUCAGUAGCCGGUCUGAGAGGAUGAACGGCCACAUUGGGACUGAGACACGGCCCAGACUCCUACGGGAGGCAGCAGUGGGGAAUCUUCCGCAAUGGACGAAAGUCUGACGGAGCAACGCCGCGUGAGUGAUGACGGCCUUCGGGUUGUAAAGCUCUGUUAAUCGGGACGAAAGGCCUUCUUGCGAAUAGGGAGAAGGAUUGACGGUACCGGAAGAGAAAGCCACGGCUAACUACGUG